AGAGAGGUCAAAAAGAAGCCUCUGGGGGCCGGGGAUGUAGCUCAGUGGUUCAGUGGCCUGCCUUGCAAGCGCAAGGACCUGAGUUCAAUUCCCGGUACAAAAAAAAAAAAAAAAAAAAAAAAAAAAAAAAAAGAGAGAGAGAAAAAGAAAAAGAAGCCUCUGCUUAAACACAUGUUCUUGUGUUUCAUUCCAGGUAUCCUGCUAACACGAACCAGUAGGUGUCAAGUUUUUGAGACAUUAUACUCAUCAGCCAUGGGACAUCUUUUCUAAUGAGCAUUAGGAGACUGGGCUUAAAUUCCCUCAUUGGUUUGCCACUGUUGGACAUGUAUGCUACCCAAGGCCUCUGGAUGUCAGCGUGCCCAGUACAAAGUACUCAAGUGGAUCCCUAAAUACCCACAUAAAUGUGGACUUCAGCCCAGGCCACUGACAAGGUCCCAAUCUCCAUGUGCAUAGGUUUCCUUCAUGAGAGAUCAGGAACAGAAAGAACACCACGACCGGAACCUCAUGGAAAUGUCAGAUUUGACACUUUGCGACAAAUCUCUGAUGCUUCAGGCCCAGAACACCAACUAUACCUUGCCGCCUCAUUGUGCACCAUCAGUGGCAAGGGUAUCCCUUUGCAUUCCCAGACCAAGGAUUGGAAGAGUCUCAGCUUCGAAAGGGUGGCGUUCUUGCAGAGGUUAUUGCCUGUGAGGAGCUCUUGGCACAGGGAUCAGUUAGUGGAGGAGGCUUUGCAGGUGUCAUGGUAG
RNAcentral lists this long non-coding RNA (746 nucleotides) under Fukomys damarensis (Damara mole-rat). RNAcentral describes it as "lncRNA (ENSFDAG00000026213.1)". Lineage: Eukaryota; Metazoa; Chordata; Mammalia; Rodentia; Bathyergidae. The record is from RNAcentral.